GGUCGAGUGGAAGGGGGACAGAGCCGAGUUAUAAAAAGAAGGUGUCGGAAACUGUAACGCUGCAGCAAAGCAUCACUAGUACUCCGUGCCGUGUGAAUAUGUCAACAUGAUCAGAGGGGAGGGAGCAGGCGGCACCGGGCCGGGCGGCCGGGAGCCGCCUCUAGGGGGGGUUCUCGGGGCCGCCUCGCCCCCCGCCGUGCCCGGAGAGCGGCCCUGGCCCCGGAGAGAUGGCAGCUGGGCGCUGCCGGCGCUCGAUGGCAGGAGUGCAGCCGUUCGGCUGGCCCCGGCGCCGAGAGGGUUAACGCUCCCACACCCCUCCUCUUCCAUGAGGUGCGCGGGGAGGAGACGGGAAGUGUGGCUUUCCCCGCGGCCGGGCCGCUGUGCGGGGCAGCGGCGGGCGGGGGGGGUCAGGCCCGGUCCCCCUUCUCGGUCCCGCUCCCUGCGGGGCAGCCCGUACGUGUGGGUCCCCGUCUGCCCCGAUUCGCCUGCCGAGUUUCUGGGAUUCGUGUUCCCGGGAGGGCGGUGUCACUGCGGGGGCAGCGAGACGGGGCUCGUGCGAGUGUCAGCGUGUGCGGGGGGCCGGAGGGAAAGCAGAGCUGCCCUGGUUGCUGAGCGGCUGCGAGAGCUCCGCUCGCUCAGAUUUCGCACUCCUAAGCAACUUUUUAGCUUUUGCACGAGAAAUCGGGGCGUGCGGCAAGCCUCUGCCGGUGUCCCGAAGAGCCAGCGGGAGGGAGAAGGCAGAAGGAAAAGAAUGGCAGCGCGACUGAUGAACCCACACGUCCUCUCCCAAGCCUGCGGGAGCCACUCCAAGGCGUGUGUGCGUGCUGCGAGCCUCGUGUGCGUGUGCAGGGGAGGCUGCGUGGGUGUGCGCGCCCCGGGGAGGGGGGGCCGUGCACUGAGUGCACCGUAAAUCCGUGAUGCAGCUACUAAAGCCGGGGAGUCUCCUUGCACCCCGUGUGUACCGGGCUGACAGCGGUGCUAGUGGGUGCUGUGCAGGAGGGAGCAGGGCCAGCACGCACUGCAGUCCUGCACACCUCCCCAGUGGGACUUUCCGUUCUCUCGAUGUGUUUUCUUACGGCACUGCAAGUCCGAGCAUCCCAGGCGCCUCCAUCUCCUCUUGCCGCAGCUUCUGCUCGGCCCCCAGCCCUCGGAAGGCAACACGCAACCGCGGCUGGGCUAUGUUUAUCCCAAAUAAAAUGCAGUCGGCUCGUUUACUUUGGCAGUUUUGCAGUAAAUACUCGGGGUGCGUCGAUGACGCGCUUAUUCCGAGUGCUGCUCCCCUGUCUGUGCGGGCUGCACUCGAUCCCAGAGAAAGGUGUCAGGAGCUGGGGCCGGUGCUGGCACUGCUCCAUCGUGGAGCGGCACUGCAGGCCUCGGGCACAAUGAAAUGGGUCUCUAUGGGGCGAGUCUGUAUACUCAGACCUCAUGAACUGCUGCGGGGGAGGGAAAGGGGUCACCGUGACAGUUCUUUGCUUUCCCUUGGGCAGAGCUCUUCCUGCAAUGGACAGCUGAAUUUUAGCUAAAGCCUGAUCUAAGUGCUCUGCAAAAUAACCUGCCCGGGUCCAAAGGAGUGUGGAGAGGGAUUGGAAAUACAAGCAGGAAAACAAAACAAAACAAAACAAAACAACACCAACAAAAAACAAAAAAACAACAACCAACAAGAAAAACCAACCCGACACAGAUUUCUCUCUGGCCAGGUCACCGGUCCUCUUAACUGGGACUUACAGGGCUGGACGGAGCCGAAGGCACUUUUACACACACCUCAGGGCAUCAGAAAAAAUGCAAGUGAAGAGAGUGGUGGAGAAAGGUUCUCAUCCUUCACCCGUACCUGAGGUGUGUUCCCGCAGGAAAGGCUGCAGUGUCCCGGCACAGCCCGGCACAGCAUAUCACGGCCCGGCCCGGCCCGGCUCCGCACUUCCCGGCCUGGCACACGGCCUGGCUCCUGCUCUCUGCCAGCAAAGCAGCCAGCUGGGACAACGGCUCACAAACACAGUAACCACUCAUAUCCCUGCGGCAAGACCCGCUGUCACCUGGUCUCCAUCCCCAAACAGCUCUGACGCUCUCCAGCCCCAUCCAUUUUGCCUCGGAUGGGAGAAGAAAACCAGAGGGCACUCGGAGGCGAAUCCCUACCCCAGAGUCCCCCCCGUCCCCGAGCCCGGGCUGCCCUUUCCCCCAGCCUUGAUCCUGGAGUACGCUCUUAGCAGAGGCGCAAUGAAAGUCCUGCUCUCCGCCUCCCCCCCCCCCCCGCAACCCGCCCCACAUACACACCUAUCCUUCUGCUCCCACCACUGCUGGCUAAGCAGAAAUUGUAAAUAGAGUUCACUAUUUAGAUAAAGAUUUUAUUUAUUCAUUUAUUUAUUUUUUAAUAUCCAGGCGCAUACACACAGUUUGCCACUCAGGAAGUAGAACUAAUUGUCGUUUCCUACAGUCAAACAGAUCUAUCUUUUCAAUGCUGUCUGUGUGUGUCUGCAUGUGAGACAGAAAGAGGGAACGAGUGGAUACGUUUAUUCAAUUAUUUAAACACACACACACAACACAAAAACAAUCCCGAGGUGGGACGAGCCUUCUCGAAGGAGCCCUACAGCUCUCCAAUGCGGCAUUCCCCCCCCACCCCCCACCCCCCACCUUCGCCUGCUCCCUGCAGACCCAGGAGAACAAGGCACCCGGAGAGAGAAACCGAUUUAAUCUGCUUUGACCAUCGGCCGUGUUCUUUAACAACCCAGCCCCGGAGCUGGAACCUUGCCCACCUCCCCCGGGGUCUGCUCCGAUCCCCGCCCCCGGGCACCCCCUGGGCACCCCCGAGGCACCGGCGGGCGCCGGCUGCAGCGGAGCACGGAGAGAAACCAGGAGCCUCCAGCACCGGCGCUGCCACGCUACUCUCCCAUUUUCUUCGAGAUGCCACGGAUCCACCCGGCGAUCGAUUGAUACCUCGGCCCGGGGGAGAAUGAGGGGGUGGGGGGCAGUGGAAACAGCUGUUGCAAAAGGACAUGGUAAAUCUAAUAGGGGCUACUGUCAAUAGAGAAAUGACAGAGAAGAAGAAUUGGCUUCUUAAAGUCUGCUGAACUAACACUCAUCAUGUAGCCGCGGCCACGUAUUCUCAGUCGGAGCCUGGUAUCCAUUACUAUUUUCCUUACUAGGUUUCAAUUAAAGAGAGAUCUAACCCCCCGACGCACGCCCCCUGGCAGGAGAUAAAAGACAGGCGAGGGGAGGCAUCGGACACAUCCUGUCUGUACGCCACGUUUGUCACCAAAGCCGAGCUGCCGCCGUGCCCCGACCAAUUCCCCCGGCCGGGUAGGGCUCGAUCCCUGCGGUGAUCGCAAACGGAGAUGUGCGACGGUCCCAGGAGCCGUGCAUCUCCCCAUCUGUCUUCGCCCUCCAUUCUCCUUCUCCCGUUUUCCCAUUAUGUUUAACCCCUCUCCUCUCCUGCCGGACGGAGAAGCUCCGAGCUGGGAGGCUGCGGGUGGCUGCUCUGAGCAGGGGAUUCUCGGGGUGACACCGUCGUAGUAACUGCGUGUCACUUGUUCCCUCUCGAGUGAGAUUAAAAGCGCAAACUUCUCGGCACCGAAAACACACACACAACCAAUUUAAAAACCUGCCGAUUUUCUAGGGGAGAAGGGAAGAACUUCAUUUAGUUUCAGUGCCCUGCUGAGAGGGGGAAAGGUGGCUGGGAACAGUUUUUCCUCCUCUGUCUCGUCCCAGGUAUGUGCCCGAAGCUCCAGCGCAUCUAUACGGGGGCUGCGAAAGGCACCGAAACGUACCAAAUUUUCCCUUACGACUUGGUCAGUGUCAACCUAUAGGUGACACAGGACGUGCCGGGGUGGGGGUGGGGGGGUGGGGAUGGAGAAGGAGCUGCGGGCUGUGUCCCACCGGCGCUCCAUAAAAGUGAUAUUGGAGGAGGAAAGUCCUUCCAUCCUCUCCCAUCGCUUUCCAGCUCUCAGUGCUGCCAGGGGAUAAAUCGCUGCCUUCGGGGCUCCAGGCAGUCUCACCGGCAGCCUCGUCCCUUCGGCAUGUAGGGGAAAAGCUCAUUGCUCUGCACUCACAGGGAUGGAACUUAGCGAAACCCUCCAGAGACCGUCCCCGUGGGGAGCAGAACGAGCUGGGAACGUUUAUUUAUGAAAAGGCUCUUCUCCGUCUUUAGGGCGUGGGAGGUUUUUUGCAGCUCCGUUUUAUUUUAGUUUAGAAUUUUGACCAAACUUUAGACUGAUAUUUGGAAAGAGUGAAUGCGCACACAUGGGAAAGUGAAAAAACUGGUCCUUCGAGGUCACCCGCGAGAAGGAGAUGGGAUCUCUACCCCCUUCCAAAAGAAAAGAAAAGUAUCAGAAGGGGAAAGAUCUCAUGCUUUUAUAGUUUAAAAUACUAUGAAUGAUUUGCUUUUAAUGGCACACGUGGUUGUAAGGAAAGAGAGGCUCUGUUUUCGAUCUCGCGCUUGCUCCUCGCUUUUCUAUAGGUGUGUGUGGAUAUACGUGUGCUUUGCAGCCCUCACCUGAUGGCUCUCCUCGUCACCCCACCCUCCUCCCCGGACCCGCAGCACGUUGCAGGCCACUCUCUCCCACCGCUGUGUCCACUGCAGGGAUCCAGAAGCACGGGCACAGCCGACUCCUACCACGGCGUUUCUCCAGAGCAGCGGGGGUGUUAUGAACACUUAUUAAACCCAGAUGAUCUGAGAGUUGGGGCAUACGGAAAAGAUUUCCAAUUAAAGCCGAGAGCAGCCAGCUUCGCGUCGCAGGUGUAAACAAUAUUUGUGAGGCUCUCGCUCCUCAUCCCGGAGCGGAUUCUUCCCCUCGCUGUAUCCCGCAGGAAGGAGAGGGGAAGGGGCCGCUUCUCGCUCCGGGCCCCAUUUACCACCUCGCUGGGCUCCCCAUAUCGCUCAGCGCGCACUCGGGCGGCUCUGUGCCUGCAGCCCCCGGCCCCGAAUCUCCUCCCCUCCGCUCACCUGUUGCCGCAGCCGCUUCUGUAAAGGCAAGGAUUAAAAAGGAUAAUUCAAUAGCUCCGGUCUAGGAAAGCGGCGGCGGUGUUAAGUGACACGGGAGGUGGGGUGACACGACACGCGGGAACAGUGGGCAUCACCACGGGCUGCUGGGUACGCGCUCCUGCUUGGAAGAAGUGCUUUCUCACAACUUUGAUGCCGGAUUUAGGGGGAUCUGGGAGCUCAAAUGCAGCUGUGAAGACGUUUCCCAGUUCGCCGAGAGCGUUCGGGUUCACGAAGCAUCUCGGGGGCCGUAGGGGCGGCCCCCGAACAGCUCCAGCCUCGUUAGCGAGACCGGGCACGCUCGUUUUGGAAGAUCCUGUUAAAUAACGGAGAAAGCAUUCACGUAUGCUUAAUCCAAUGUUUCUUUAUAUACCAUUUGGACAGUUGUCUCGAUCCGAGGUCAGGAAAAAGUCCUGCUCGGUGGAGACAAGAGGCUGACAAGGUGGCAGGAGAAUGGGGGGCUUAGGGAGCGACUCGGUGGUAGCGCCAUGUAGGCAGCUCUACUUCUGAAAAACACGGGCGCUGUUGGUGCCCGCCGCUCGCGGAGCCGCUCACUCUGCCCCGGGGCAGGUUAUGGGAGGCACAGUCCGUACAGCUCCUGACCGUCCGUACCCGGCAGCGAAGUGAGCAGAGCGGAUUGCGAAAGACCGUGCGCACUGGGAUGUGGAGGGGGGUCUAGGGGGAGGGUGGAAGGAAGAAAACAGAAGAAAAGCCUGUCCCAAAGAGCUGAAGUGGGCAGAGUAUUACAUGUACAAACAUCCAAACAAGAUUGGAGCGGUACAAAGCGUCGGAAAAUCCAGAGCAGCCACAUAAAAAGAAAAGUUAAGUAGGAAGUGGUGUAAAAGCGUUGUCGUUUAUUUCGCCUUCCCUUCCAGAUGUUCUGCAUAAAGCUCUAUCUGUAGGGAGGAGGGAGCGCGCCCGGCAGAAACGAGCUCCGGGAGCGGGUGCCGGGGGCUGCCCGGGGCUGCUCGGGGCUGCGGCCACCGGAUGGCGCAGCCACCGCCCGCUGUCACCUGCGGGACCUGCGUUCACCUGUGGGUGGCCCCGGGCCCUCCCAAGCUCUGUCGGGGUAGCAGAAGUUGGUGCGGGCACGGCGCAGCACCGACCCGGCCCCGGCGUUUUUAUACACCGGGUUAUGGGACCGAGGGACUCGUGGAGUUCGGAGUGUGGCCGUCACGCUUUGCUGCAGGGGUAGGGAGGAAGCCCCUGAGCUCCGAAGCUCGUCUCGAGGGAGUAGUAACGCGUUGGGGAGAGAGAAACGCAGAGCUGAGUUUAAAGGCUGGAAAGGGAAAGAUCGAUCUUUGUGGAACAGCUGGGCUGAAAGUAUCUGCCAGAGCCCCUUGCACUUAGGGCUGGAGGAAGGUGGUUGAGAACUAAUAUCUCAAGUGACAUAAGAAGAGAACAAACAUCCUGCCAAAACUGCGUUUUGUCCUGUGUCGCUCCCUCCCCCGAAAUACAGAGCCCACCCCCCCCGCCAAUUCCCAAACAAAUAAAUCCAAAGCCAGGUCUCGCUGUCACCGGCCAGCAAAGAAAAACUAAAAACUCGCUUUUCAUGAGCGCUGCCCGCUCUGGGAAGAGCAAGGAAGCAGCCCAAAGCCCCGGACAGGUGCCUUCAUGUGCCCUCCCUCCCUCGCCAACGAAUCUGCAAUCCCAGCCCGCAGGAAAGCGCUAAGGACAGUAGCAGGGUUUAAACACAGAGAAAAGCCUGUUUGCUGCUUUAUUAGUGUUGAGUCUACUCUAAUUACGGGAAAUCGCUGCUCUCGGUCUGAAACGACGUGUUAUCUUGUGCUUGUAAAAUACAUUUCGAAUAACUCUUCUCUGUCUAUAAAAUACAGUGGACGGAAUAUAAAUAAACUGCUGUCCAUUUGUUUAAUGCUAUUUUAGCCAAAUUGACUGGCCGGAUUAGAAUUCGACAUAAAAGCUUUAAGUUUGCAGAACGUCCGCGCUGCAACGUCUGGGAGACAGGACUCUGGCUGCUGCGCGACGGGCACGUUAACUGCAUUAAAACCUCUCCAUACAUUUUCUGGCUUUUGCUUUUCUUUCCCUUUCGCAGCACAUCCACCCGCUCUCCCCGCCUCCGGGCGCCCGCGCCUGUUUUUCUCCAAAUGAAGUAUUUUACGUGAUCGAUGGAAGGAGUCAUUUGGCCCAUAAUUAGGUCAAUAAAAUCAAUGUUUAUUCCUCGGAUGGACUGAAAGCUAAUAAAUUCCUCUUUUA
Non-coding RNA from Coturnix japonica (Japanese quail), 7183 nucleotides. Lineage: Eukaryota; Metazoa; Chordata; Aves; Galliformes; Phasianidae. The record is from RefSeq and is a predicted model, not a curated record.